GGGGGUUUCUAAUUAUGGUGUUAUUAACCUAAACCGCGUAUGGGUCAUUUAAACCGCUAAAAUUUACUUGAUUUUGACACUAUCCUACAUGGGUAACUGUGGGAAUUCUGGAGCUAAUACAUGCGUAAAAGCUGAAACUCACGUUUCAAUGCAUUUAUUAUAACAAAACCAAGCAUCUUCGGAUGUGUUUUGUUGACUCUGAAUAAACCUUGCUGAUCGCAUAGUCUUGUACUGGCGACAUGUCAUUCAAGUGUCUGACCUAUCAACUGUAUAUAUAAAUAUAUAGUACUUAUAUGGUUUUGACGGGUAACGGAGAAUUAGGGUUCGACUCCGGAGAAAAUGCCUGAGAAACGGCGUUUACAUCCAAGGAAGGCAACAGGCGCGAAAAUUACCCACUCUCAGUACGAGGAGGUAGUGACGAGAAAUGACAAGAUCUAGACCUUCGGGGCUGGAUCAUUGGAAUGGUUUGAUUUUAAAACCAUUAAAGAGUAUCAAUGAGAGGGCAAGUCUGGUGCCGGCACCCGCGGUAAUUCCAGCUCUCAUACUGCAUUGAAUUGUUGUUGCGGUUAAAAAGCUCGUACUUGGAUCUGUACCCGAUAGGAUGGUUCACCCUUUGGGUUGUAACUAUUACUAAGUGUUUUUUAUCAGAUUUUAAGCGCGUUUACGCGUAUAUGUCUGAUGAGUUUACUUUGAAUAAAUCAAAGUGCUCCAAACAGGCGUAAGCUUGUAUGGGUUUGCAUGGAAUAAUAUAACAUGACAGAGGUUCAUGUUUUAUUGGUUUUACUUACCAUGGCAAUGAUUGAAAGGAACGGACGGGGGCCAUCCGUAUCCCACGGCGAGAGGUGAAAUUCAUGGACACUCGCGAGACCAACUACAACGAAAGCAUUGCCAGAAUGAGAGAGAGGA
This 906-nucleotide ribosomal RNA is filed under the name Panagrolaimus cf. papillosus ES-2013. RNAcentral's name for it is "bacterial SSU rRNA". It matches the Rfam family "Eukaryotic small subunit ribosomal RNA", at positions 59 to 983 of the family's 1831-position model. Lineage: Eukaryota; Metazoa; Nematoda; Chromadorea; Rhabditida; Panagrolaimidae. The record is from RNAcentral.